UGGGGAAUAUUGCACAAUGGGCGGAAGCCUGAUGCAGCAACGCCGCGUGCGGGAUGACGGCCUUUGGGUUGUAAACCGCUUUCAGCAGGGACGAAGCGUGAGUGACGGUACCUGCAGAAGAAGCACUGGCUAACUACGUGCCAGCAGCCGCGGUGAUACGUAGGGUGCGAGCGUUGUCCGGAUUUAUUGGGCGUAAAGAGCUUGUAGGCGGUUGGUUGCGUCGAAAGUGCAAACUCAGGGCUUAACUCUGAGCCUGCUUUCGAUACGGGCUGACUGGAGGAAGGUAGGGGAGAAUGGAAUUCCCGGUGGAGCGGUGGAAUGCGCAGAUAUCGGGAUGAACACCAGUGGCGAAGGCGGUUCUCUGGACCUUUCCUGACGCUGAGAAGCGAAAGCGUGGGGAGCAAACAG
This 408-nucleotide ribosomal RNA is filed under the name uncultured bacterium. RNAcentral describes it as "bacterial SSU rRNA". It matches the Rfam family "Bacterial small subunit ribosomal RNA", at positions 355 to 775 of the family's 1533-position model. The record is from RNAcentral.